RNAcentral lists this ribosomal RNA (587 nucleotides) under uncultured bacterium. Its description in RNAcentral is "partial 16S ribosomal RNA". It matches the Rfam family "Bacterial small subunit ribosomal RNA", at positions 355 to 1376 of the family's 1533-position model. The record is from RNAcentral.
UGGGGAAUUUUGGACAAUGGGCGCAAGCCUGAUCCAGCAAUGCCGCGUGCAGGAAGAAGGCCUUCGGGUUGUAAACUGCUUUUGUCAGGGAAGAAAUCCUCUGGGUUAAUACCUCGGGGGAUGACGGUACCUGAAGAAUAAGCACCGGCUAACUACGUGCCAGCAGCCGCGGUAAUACGUAGGGUGCGAGCGUUAAUCGGAAUUACUGGGCGUAAAGCGUGCGCAGGCGGUUGUGCAAGACAGGUGUGAAAUCCCCGGGCUUAACCUGGGAACUGCACUUGUGACUGCACGGCUAGAGUACGGUAGAGGGGGGAUGGAAUUCCGCGUGUAGCAGUGAAAUGCGUAGAUAUGCGGAGGAACACCGUGGCGAAGGCAAUCCCCUGGACCUGUACUGACGCUCAUGCACGAAAGCGUGGGGAGCAAAACAGGAUUAGAUACCCUGGUAGUCCACGCCCUAAACGAUGUCAACUGGUUGUUGGACGGCUUGCUGUUCAGUAACGAAGCUAACGCGUGAAGUUGACCGCCUGGGGAGUACGGCCGCAAGGUUGAAAACUCAAAUGAAUUGACGGGGUCAUAGCUGUUUCCUG